This 1261-nucleotide ribosomal RNA is filed under the name metagenome. RNAcentral's name for it is "bacterial SSU rRNA". It matches the Rfam family "Bacterial small subunit ribosomal RNA", at positions 218 to 1463 of the family's 1533-position model. The record is from RNAcentral.
UUCAGGGACGGGCUCGCGUACCAUAAGCUUGUUGGUAGGGUAAUGGCCUACCAAGGCUACGAUGGUUAGCUGGUCUGAGAGGAUGAUCAGUCACACUGGAACUGGAACACGGUCCAGACUCCUACGGGAGGCAGCAGUGAGGAAUUUUGCGCAAUGGGGGAAACCCUGACGCAGCAACGCCGCGUGAGCGAAGAAGGCCUUCGGGUCGUAAAGCUCUGUCAAGUGGGAAAAAAGCCUUUCGGUUAAUAUCCGGGAGGUCUGAUGGUACCACUGGAGGAAGCACCGGCUAACUCCGUGCCAGCAGCCGCGGUAAUACGGAGGGUGCAAGCGUUGUUCGGAAUUACUGGGCGUAAAGCGCGUGCAGGCGGCUUGGUAAGUCAGAUGUGAAAGCCCUGGGCUCAACCCGGGAAGUGCAUUUGAAACUGCCUUUCUUGAGUAUGGGAGAGGAGAGUGGAAUUCCCAGUGUAGAGGUGAAAUUCGUAGAUAUUGGGAGGAACACCCGUGGCGAAGGCGACUCUCUGGACCAAUACUGACGCUGAGACGCGAAAGCGUGGGGAGCAAACAGGAUUAGAUACCCUGGUAGUCCACGCCGUAAACGAUGAGAACUAGGUGUAGCGGGUAUUGACCCCUGCUGUGCCGAAGUUAACGCAUUAAGUUCUCCGCCUGGGGAGUACGGCCGCAAGGCUAGAACUCAAAGGAAUUGACGGGGGCCCGCACAAGCGGUGGAGCAUGUGGUUUAAUUCGACGCAACGCGAAGAACCUUACCUGGGUUUGACAUCCUCUGACUGCCCCGGAAACGGGGUUUUUCCGACUCUGUCGGAACAGUGUGACAGGUGCUGCAUGGCUGUCGUCAGCUCGUGUCGUGAGAUGUUGGGUUAAGUCCCGCAACGAGCGUAACCCUUGUCUUUAGUUGCCACUAUUAAGUUAGGCACUCUAAAGAGACUGCCUCGGUUAACGGGGAGGAAGGUGGGGAUGACGUCAAGUCCUCAUGGCCUUUAUACCCAGGGCUACACACGUGCUACAAUGGGCUGUACAAAGGGUUGCCUCUCCGCGAGGAGGCGCUAAUCCCAAAAAGCAGUCCUCAGUUCGGAUUGGAGUCUGCAACUCGACUCCAUGAAGGUGGAAUCGCUAGUAAUCGUGGAUCAGCACGCCACGGUGAAUACGUUCCCGGGCCUUGUACACACCGCCCGUCACACCACGAAAGUCGACUGUACCAGAAGUUGCUGGGCCAACCCCUUUUGGGGGGGCAGGUACCUAAGGU